Molecule: ribosomal RNA, 492 nt
Filed under: uncultured bacterium
Lineage: Bacteria
Description: partial 16S ribosomal RNA
Rfam family: Bacterial small subunit ribosomal RNA
Source: RNAcentral
AGUGAACGCUGGCGGUAGGCCUAACACAUGCAAGUCGAACGGCAGCACAGUAAGAGCUUGCUCUUACGGGUGGCGAGUGGCGGACGGGUGAGGAAUACAUCGGAAUCUACUUUUUCGUGGGGGAUAACGUAGGGAAACUUACGCUAAUACCGCAUACGACCUACGGGUGAAAGCAGGGGAUCUUCGGACCUUGCGCGAUUGAAUGAGCCGAUGUCGGAUUAGCUAGUUGGCGGGGUAAAGGCCCACCAAGGCGACGAUCCGUAGCUGGUCUGAGAGGAUGAUGAGCCAGACUGGAACUGAGAAACGGUCCAGACUCCUACGGGAGGCAGCAGUGGGGAGUAUUGGACAAUGGGCGCAAGAUUGAUCCAGCCAUACCGCGUGGGUGAAGAAGGCCUUCGGGUUGUACAGCUCUUUUGUUGGGAAAGAAAAGCAGCAGGUGAAUACCCCGCUGUUCUGACGGUACCCAAAGAAUAAGCACCGGCUAACUUCGUG